This 878-nucleotide ribosomal RNA is filed under the name uncultured eukaryote. RNAcentral describes it as "SSU rRNA". It matches the Rfam family "Eukaryotic small subunit ribosomal RNA", at positions 636 to 1469 of the family's 1831-position model. The record is from RNAcentral.
CGGUGUUCAACUGGCGUGUCCGCGGGACGUCCUGCCGGUGGGCUUAGCCCGCAAGGGCGGCCCCAACUUCAAAUCCCAUCGCGGUGCUCUUCACUGAGUGUCGAGGUGGGCCGGCACGUUUACUUUGAACAAAUUUGAGUGCUUAAAGCAGGCUAAAACUUCCCCUGAAUACUGUGUGCAUGGAAUAAUGGAAUAGGACCUCGGUUCUAUUUUGUUGGUUUUCGGAACCCCGAGGUAAUGAUUAAUAGGAACGGAUGGGGGCAUUCGUAUUGCGACGUUAGAGGUGAAAUUCUUGGAUCGUCGCAAGACGGACAGAAGCGAAAGCAUUUGCCAAAAACGCUUUCAUUGAUCAAGAACGAAAGUUAGAGGUUCGAAGGCGAUCAGAUACCGCCCUAGUUCUAACCAUAAACGAUGCCAGCUAGCGAUCCGUCGACGUUCCUCCGAUGACUCGACGGGCAGCUUCCGGGAAACCAAAGCUUUUGGGUUCCGGGGGAAGUAUGGUUGCAAAGCUGAAACUUAAAGGAAUUGACGGAAGGGCACCACCAGGAGUGGAGCCUGCGGCUUAAUUUGACUCAACACGGGAAACCUCACCAGGCCCGGACACCGGAAGGAUUGACAGAUUGAGAGCUCUUUCUUGAUUCGGUGGGUGGUGGUGCAUGGCCGUUCUUAGUUGGUGGAGCGAUUUGUCUGGUUAAUUCCGAUAACGAACGAGACUCUAGCCUGCUAACUAGGCGUAUCUUCGACAUCUCAAAGGUCCGUCGUCCCGGCCCUCGGGUCGUGGGCGUGCGCGAUUUUUACUGUCGGCGUACUAUCAAUUCUUCUUAGAGGGACAGGUGGCUUCUAGCCGCACGAGAUUGAGCAAUAACAGGUCUGUGAUG